Molecule: ribosomal RNA, 1254 nt
Filed under: metagenome
Description: bacterial LSU rRNA
Rfam family: Bacterial large subunit ribosomal RNA
Source: RNAcentral
GAGAACUCGGGUGAAGGGACUAGGCAAAAUGGUACCGUAACUUCGGGAGAAGGUACGCCGCUUGGGGUGAUCGGACUUGCUCCGUGAGCUCCGGGCGGUCGAAGUGACCAGGUGGCUGCGACUGUUAUUAAAAACACAGCACUCUGCAAACACGAAAGUGGACGUAUAGGGUGUGACGCCUGCCCGGUGCCGGAAGGUUAAUUGAUGGGGUCAGCCGCAAGGCGAAGCUCUUGAUCGAAGCCCCGGUAAACGGCGGCCGUAACGAUAACGGUCCUAAGGUAGCGAAAUUCCUUGUCGGGUAAGUUCCGACCUGCACGAAUGGCGUAACGAUGGCCACACUGUCUCCACCCGAGACUCAGUGAAAUUGAACUCGCUGUGAAGAUGCAGUGUACCCGCGGCUAGACGGAAAGACCCCGUGAACCUUUACUACAGCUUUGCACUGGACUCUGAAUCUGUUUGUGUAGGAUAGGUGGGAGGCUAUGAAGCCGGAACGCUAGUUCUGGUGGAGCCAACCUUGAAAUACCACCCUGACAUAUUUGGGGUUCUAACCCAGGCCCGUUAUCCGGGUCGGGGACAGUGUAUGGUGGGUAGUUUGACUGGGGCGGUCUCCUCCCAAAGAGUAACGGAGGAGCACGAAGGUACCCUCAGCGUGGUCGGAAAUCACGCUUUUGAGUGCAAAGGCAUAAGGGUGCUUGACUGCGAGAGCGACGGCUCGAGCAGGUGCGAAAGCAGGUCUUAGUGAUCCGGUGGUUCUGAAUGGAAGGGCCAUCGCUCAACGGAUAAAAGGUACUCCGGGGAUAACAGGCUGAUACCGCCCAAGAGUUCAUAUCGACGGCGGUGUUUGGCACCUCGAUGUCGGCUCAUCACAUCCUGGGGCUGAAGCCGGUCCCAAGGGUAUGGCUGUUCGCCAUUUAAAGUGGUACGCGAGCUGGGUUUAGAACGUCGUGAGACAGUUCGGUCCCUAUCUGCCGUGGGCGUUGGAGAUUUGAGGAAAGCUGCUCCUAGUACGAGAGGACCGGAGUGGACGAACCUCUGGUGUUCGGGUUGUCACGCCAGUGGCAUUGCCCGGUAGCUACGUUCGGACGGGAUAACCGCUGAAAGCAUCUAAGCGGGAAGCCUCUUCCAAGAUGAGAUCUCCCCGGGGACUCGAUCCCCCUGAAGGGUUGUUCAAGACCAGGACGUUGAUAGGUGGGGUGUGUAAGCGCUGUGAGGCGUUGAGCUAACCCAUACUAAUUGCCCGUGCGGCUUGACCAU